GAUGAAGAACGCAGCGAAAUGCGAUAAGUAAUGUGAAUUGCAGAAUUCAGUGAAUCAUCGAAUCUUUGAACGCACCUUGCACCCUUUGGUAUUCCGAAGGGUAUGCUCGUUUGAGUGUCAUUGUACUCUCACACUUCUAAUUCCUUUCGGGAUUGGGAGCAGUGGACUUGGGUGUUGCUGCUUUAGUUGUGGCUCACCUCAAAUAAGUUAGUGCAACUCUUGGUUGGACAUAGUACGGCGUGAUAAGUGUCUUCGCCGGCGCCUCUGUAAGGAGGGUGGCCGAUCGGGAGCUCUGUGCUUCAAACCGUCUUCGGACAAUCUUUGACAACUUGACCUCAAAUCGAGUAGGACUACCCGCUGAACUUAAGCAUAUCAAUAAGCGGAGGA
This 387-nucleotide unclassified non-coding RNA is filed under the name soil metagenome. Its description in RNAcentral is "partial contains 5.8S ribosomal RNA, internal transcribed spacer 2, and large subunit ribosomal RNA". The stretch from base 1 to 120 matches the Rfam family "5.8S ribosomal RNA", at positions 35 to 154 of the family's 154-position model. The record is from RNAcentral.